RNAcentral lists this unclassified non-coding RNA (217 nucleotides) under Hevea brasiliensis (rubber tree). Lineage: Eukaryota; Viridiplantae; Streptophyta; Magnoliopsida; Malpighiales; Euphorbiaceae. The record is from RNAcentral.
GGAAAAUGAAGGCAUGUAACUAAACCCAUCAUGAUGUCGUUUUCUUGCUAGUGCUUUGCUUCUCUCACAUAGUUCAUAUCUCCUUCAUUUCUUCCAUAUUUAGAGUGGUAUUAGUUUAUAUCUCCAAGCUUUUCUAUCAUUACAUUCUUUUCUUGGUAUUAGUUAUAUUUAGUUCUUUUCUCAAUGUAUCCUAGCUACUCAGUGUUUUAAGGAGCCG